This 534-nucleotide ribosomal RNA is filed under the name Psilocybe cyanescens. RNAcentral's name for it is "eukaryotic LSU rRNA". It matches the Rfam family "Eukaryotic large subunit ribosomal RNA", at positions 81 to 622 of the family's 3401-position model. The record is from RNAcentral. Lineage: Eukaryota; Fungi; Basidiomycota; Agaricomycetes; Agaricales; Agrocybaceae.
UAGUAACUGCGAGUGAAGCGGGAAAAGCUCAAAUUUAAAAUCUGGCGGUCUUUGGCUGUCCGAGUUGUAAUCUAGAGAAGUGUUAUCCGCGCUGGACCGUGUACAAGUCUCCUGGAAUGGAGCGUCAUAGAGGGUGAGAAUCCCGUCUUUGACACGGACUGCCAGGGCUUUGUGAUGCGCUCUCAAAGAGUCGAGUUGUUUGGGAAUGCAGCUCAAAAUGGGUGGUAAAUUCCAUCUAAAGCUAAAUAUUGGCGAGAGACCGAUAGCGAACAAGUACCGUGAGGGAAAGAUGAAAAGAACUUUGGAAAGAGAGUUAAACAGUACGUGAAAUUGCUGAAAGGGAAACGCUUGAAGUCAGUCGCGUUGGCCGGGGAUCAACCUUGCUUUUGCUGGGCGUACUUUCCGGUCGACGGGUCAGCAUCAAUUUUGACCGUUGGAUAAAGGCUGAGGGAAUGUGGCUCCUUCGGGAGUGUUAUAGCCCUUGGUCGCAUACAACGAUUGGGAUUGAGGAACUCAGCACGCCGCAAGGCCGGG